GAUGAACGCUGGCGGCGUGCCUAACACAUGCAAGUCGAGCGGCAGCGAGGGGUGCUUGCACCCUGUCGGCGAGCGGCGGACGGCUGAGUAACGCGUGGGAACGUGCCCCAAAGUGAGGAAUAACUGCCCGAAAGGGUAGCUAAUACCGCAUAUUAUCUUCGGAUCAAAGGAUUUAUCCGCUCUGGGAGCGGCUCGCGUCGGAUUAGGUAGUUGGUGAGGUAAUGGCUCACCAAGCCGACGAUCCGUAGCUGGUCUGAGAGGAUGACCAGCCAGACUGGAACUGAGACACGGUCCAGACUCCUACGGGAGGCAGCAGUGAGGAAUCUUACACAAUGGACGAAAGCCUGAUGGAGCAACGCCGCGUGCAGGACGAAGGCCUUCGGGUUGUAAACUGCUUUUAUAAGUGAGGAAUAUGACGGUAACUGAUGAAUAAGGAUCGGCUAACUACGUG
This 451-nucleotide ribosomal RNA is filed under the name uncultured bacterium. RNAcentral describes it as "partial 16S ribosomal RNA". It matches the Rfam family "Bacterial small subunit ribosomal RNA", at positions 28 to 507 of the family's 1533-position model. The record is from RNAcentral.